RNAcentral lists this ribosomal RNA (296 nucleotides) under Staphylococcus aureus. RNAcentral describes it as "partial 23S ribosomal RNA". It matches the Rfam family "Bacterial large subunit ribosomal RNA", at positions 2629 to 2925 of the family's 2925-position model. The record is from RNAcentral. Lineage: Bacteria; Bacillati; Bacillota; Bacilli; Caryophanales; Staphylococcaceae.
GUUCGGUCCCUAUCCGUCGUGGGCGUAGGAAAUUUGAGAGGAGCUGUCCUUAGUACGAGAGGACCGGGAUGGACAUACCUCUGGUGUACCAGUUGUCGUGCCAACGGCAUAGCUGGGUAGCUAUGUGUGGACGGGAUAAGUGCUGAAAGCAUCUAAGCAUGAAGCCCCCCUCAAGAUGAGAUUUCCCAACUUCGGUUAUAAGAUCCCUCAAAGAUGAUGAGGUUAAUAGGUUCGAGGUGGAAGCAUGGUGACAUGUGGAGCUGACGAAUACUAAUCGAUCGAAGACUUAAUCAAAA